This 434-nucleotide ribosomal RNA is filed under the name uncultured bacterium. RNAcentral's name for it is "partial 16S ribosomal RNA". It matches the Rfam family "Bacterial small subunit ribosomal RNA", at positions 29 to 507 of the family's 1533-position model. The record is from RNAcentral.
AGCGAACGCUGGCGGCAGGCUUAACACAUGCAAGUCGAGCGGGCAUAGCAAUAUGUCAGCGGCAGACGGGUGAGUAACGCGUGGGAACGUACCUUUUGGUUCGGAACAACACAGGGAAACUUGUGCUAAUACCGGAUAAGCCCUUACGGGGAAAGAUUUAUCGCCGAAAGAUCGGCCCGCGUCUGAUUAGCUAGUUGGUGAGGUAAUGGCUCACCAAGGCGACGAUCAGUAGCUGGUCUGAGAGGAUGAUCAGCCACAUUGGGACUGAGACACGGCCCAAACCCCUCCGGAGGCAGCAGUGGGGAAUAUUGGACAAUGGGCGCAAGCCUGAUCCAGCCAUGCCGCGUGAGUGAUGAAGGCCCUAGGGUUGUAAAGCUCUUUUGUGCGGGAAGAUAAUGACGGUACCGCAAGAAUAAGCCCCGGCUAACUUCGUG